Molecule: long non-coding RNA, 449 nt
Organism: Xenia sp. Carnegie-2017
Lineage: Eukaryota; Metazoa; Cnidaria; Anthozoa; Malacalcyonacea; Xeniidae
Exons: 3
Source: RefSeq, a predicted model, not a curated record
UAAAUGUAGUUUUGAUGGAUGGAAACCAUUAUGAAAACGACUUGAUUAUGACCGCGCUAAAUUUGAGAAUUUAAGCGAGCAAUGUUUUUGAAAUAUUUGUUACUUCACUUCAAAUUUUGAAUAUCGGAGCAAAAUUUUCUGCCUAAGUUAAAGAUAUACAGAUAUAUAGAGUUGCAGUGAAGGUGAAUGGCACCGAUAGAAAGCGAGAAGUCCCAAAUAAGGUUGGCAGGCAGAAUCAAAGGAAUUAAACUGCACAUUUUGCCCUAUUACGGUAUUAAAUACAUCCAUGUCGAUUGAUGAGCAAGAAAAUAAAUUGAACGAUUAUAUAGCAGAUUUUCUACUCAAAGAUUGCCUUUGUCAAAUCUCUCUUGUAAAAUCAAUAGCUCAGAUUUUGAAAUAUGAGCCAGCAAAACUUCUACUACAAUCUGUGUCGUUAUUUUGCUAUGAAA